GCGACGCCGCGUGAGGGAUGACGGUUUUCGGGUUGUAAACCUCCCUCGCCAGGGACGAAGCGUAAGUGACGGUACCUGGAGAAGAAGCACCGGCCAACUACGUGCCAGCAGCCGCGGUAAUACGUAGGGUGCGAGCGUUGUCCGGAAUUACUGGGCGUAAAGAGCUCGUAGGCGGUUUGUCGCGUCGUCUGUGAAAUUCUGCAACUCAAUUGCAGGCGUGCAGGCGAUACGGGCAGACUUGAGUACUACAGGGGAGACUGGAAUUCCUGGUGUAGCGGUGAAAUGCGCAGAUAUCAGGAGGAACACCGGUGGCGAAGGCGGGUCUCUGGGUAGUAACUGACGCUGAGGAGCGAAAGCGUGGGGAGCG
RNAcentral lists this ribosomal RNA (367 nucleotides) under uncultured Gordonia sp. RNAcentral's name for it is "bacterial SSU rRNA". It matches the Rfam family "Bacterial small subunit ribosomal RNA", at positions 391 to 770 of the family's 1533-position model. The record is from RNAcentral. Lineage: Bacteria; Bacillati; Actinomycetota; Actinomycetes; Mycobacteriales; Gordoniaceae.